This 2112-nucleotide ribosomal RNA is filed under the name Triticum aestivum (bread wheat). Its description in RNAcentral is "partial small subunit ribosomal RNA". The record is from RNAcentral. Lineage: Eukaryota; Viridiplantae; Streptophyta; Magnoliopsida; Poales; Poaceae.
AUGGUGAAUGGCAAGGUAUGCAAACUAGUGAUUGAUAGUUGCAGCUGCGAGAAUCUUAUCUCCCAGAAGUUGGUGGACCAUUUAAAGCUUGAAACCCAUGAUCAUCCAAAUCCCUACACUAUUGGAUGGAUCAAGAAAGGAGUGAAUAUGAGGAUCACCAAACAAUGCAACCUGCCACUUUCUUUGGGUAAGCAUUAUCGCUCAAAUGUGUUGUGUGAUGUGGUUGACAUGGAUGCCAGCCAUGUUCUUCUUGGGAGGCCUUGGCAAUUUGAUGUGGAUACUACACACAAGGGCAAGGAAAAUUCUUACUCUUUCAUUUGGAACAAGAUAAGGAUCAUUAUCUUACCAAACAAACCCGAAGGUAAUACCUCUAAGGAGGAGGGGAAAACUAUGUUAACUAUUUCCCAUACCUCUCAUGAGUUUAUGGAAGACUUGAAGGAGGCAGAUUUGUGUGCUGCACUUGUUGUAAAGGGAGAAGAGCACAUGACUGUUGAAAUUCCAGCAAAGGUACGUGGUUUAUUGGCAGAAUUUCAGAACAUACUUGGGGAGCCACAUGGCUUGCCACCGAUGAGAGGAAUUCAACAUAGAAUUGACUUAAUUCCGGGAGCAAGUCUUCCUAAUCUUCCACACUAUCGAAUGAGCCCAAAGGAGCAUGAUAUAUUGAAGGAGAAAGUGGAGGAAUUGUUGCAAAAGGGGCACAUUCGAGAAAGUAUUAGCCCAUGUGCUGUACCAGCCCUACUCGCGCCAAAGAAAGAUGGAUCUUGGCGCAUGUGUACGGACAGUAGAGCCGUUAACAAGAUCACCGUAAGGUAUAGAUUCCCUAUUCCCCGUCUGGAUGAUAUGUUGGAUCAGCUUAGUGGAGCAAGAGUGUUCACAAAGCUAGAUUUAAGAAGUGGAUAUCAUCAAAUCCGUAUAAGACCCGGGGAUGAAUGGAAGACCGCCUUCAAGACAAAGGAAGGGUUGUUUGAAUGGCUAGUCAUGCCAUUUGGACUCUCAAAUGCACCAAGUACCUUUAUGCACUUAAUGAAUCAAGUCCUUAGAACCUUCUUAUCCCACUUUGUUGUGGUCUAUUUCGAUGACAUCUUGAUCUAUAGCAAGGAUGAGGAUGAACACUUUGAUCACAUUCGGAAGGUGCUAGAAGUACUAAGGGAAAAUGAGCUCUACGUCAACUUGAAGAAAUGUGUUUUCCUGCAAACACAACUUCUUUUCCUAGGAUUCGUCAUAACAUGUGACGGCAUUCGUGUUGAUGAUUCUAAGGUUGAAGCAAUCCGAGAAUGGCCAACUCCUAAGACCAUUUCUGAGGUAAGAAGCUUUCAUGGCCUUGCAACUUUCUAUAGGCGAUUUGUUAAGAAUUUCAGCACUAUCAUGGCACCAAUUACCAAGUGUUUGAAGAAAGGAAAGUUCCAAUGGGCAAAAGCAGCUGAAGCUAGCUUCAAUGAGAUUAAACAAAAGCUAUCACAAGCUCCUGUCUUGGUACUACCUGAUUUCAACAAGACUUUUGAGUUGGAGUGUGAUGCAAGUGGAGUAGGCAUUGGAGCUGUCCUAUCUCAAGAAAGGAAGCCCAUUGCUUUCUUUAGUGAGAAGUUAAGUGAAGCUAGACAGAAAUGGGGUACCUAUCAGCAAGAAUUAUACGCCGUUUUCAGAGCGUUGAGAACUUGGGAAGUCUAUUUGCUGCCUAAAGAGUUCAUUGUUUAUAGCGACCAUCAAUCCUUGAAGCAUUUUAGAAAUCAAAAGCAUGUUGACCGCAUGCUAGAAAGAUGGGCAGCAUAUCUUGAGAGGUUUAACUAUCUCAUCGUGCAUAAAUCUGGAAUAACUAACAGAGUGGCCGAUGCUUUGAGUCGUCGUGCAUGCCUCUUGACUUCUUUUGAAUCUGAACUUCCGGGCAUGGAUCAAAUAAAGGAGUUGUAUGAGGGUGACGAAGACUUUGGCCAUGUUUGGGUAAAGCACGCAAGGGGCCAACCAUUAGGUGAUGACUAUUUGAUGCAAGAUGGAUAUCUCUUCAAAAAUGAUCGUUUGUGCAUUCCAAGAAGUUCUCUACGUGACAAGCUAGUUAGACAGCUCCAUUCAAGUGAUCUUAGUGGCCAUGUUGGACGGGACAAGACUAUCGCUAAC